RNAcentral lists this long non-coding RNA (1576 nucleotides) under Homo sapiens (human). Its description in RNAcentral is "long non-coding RNA NONHSAT159813.1". Lineage: Eukaryota; Metazoa; Chordata; Mammalia; Primates; Hominidae. The record is from RNAcentral.
CUGAGAUGUGUGGGAAGAACAGCAUACCUCUUGGGGGCUAGAGGCAGGUCCUUCUUCAUCUUUUGAUUCUGGAGCUCUCCUCACUGACCGCAUCACCUGGUGUUUGGGAAGAAUCUAGUCCUGUCUUAUUCCCGUUUCUCCUUGGUACAGAGGCUCAGAUAGAAAUGAGGAAGAAGAAAACAGAUCUGCCUAUUUUUUUAAGAGACAGAGGAAUGGUUUUUUAUUCAUGCUGAUUCAAAUAUUGCAGUUGCUGAUUUACAUAGCCAUAUAUAUAUAUGACUUUUCCUGCAUUCACCGCGCAUGAAAAAGCGCAUGAAUUUUUUUGGAUCCUCAUUUCUUUUGCUUAGUCUAGUUGGCUUGGCCCUGCUGAAUUCAUAGAAAUAAUUACCUGCCCUGAGGCAGUGGCUAGCAGCAGAGGCUACUGAAUCCCAUCACUUCACUAUUUGUCAACUGAGUGACCUUAGCUAAGUUACAAAAUGUCUCAGAGGCUGUUUCCUGACUUCCAAAAUGGGGAUUAAAUGAGGAGAACGCCUGCUCCAAGCCGGACGACGACAUUCUAGACAUCCCGCUGGACGAUCCCGGCGCCAACGCGGCCGCCGCCAAAAUCCAGGCGAGUUUUCGGGGCCACAUGGCGCGGAAGAAGAUAAAGAGCGGAGAGCGCGGCCGGAAGGGCCCGGGCCCUGGGGGGCCUGGCGGAGCUGGGGUGGCCCGGGGAGGCGCGGGCGGCGGCCCCAGCGGAGACUAGGCCAGAAGAACUGAGCAUUUUCAAAGUUCCCGAGGAGAGAUGGAUGCCGCGUCCCCUUCGCAGCGACGAGACUUCCCUGCCGUGUUUGUGACCCCCUCCUGCCCAGCAACCUGCCAGCUACAGGAGCCCCCUGCGUCCCAGAGACUCCCUCACCCAGGCAGGCUCCGUCGCGGAGUCGCUGAGUCCGUGCCCUUUUAGUUAGUUCUGCAGUCUAGUAUGGUCCCCAUUUGCCCUUCCACUCCACCCCACCCUAAACCAUGCGCUCCCAAUCUUCCUUCUUUUGCUUCUCGCCCACCUCUUCCCGCACCCAGCAUGCAGCUCUGCCUCCGCAGCCUCAGUGCGCUUUCCUGCGCGCACUGCGGAGGGCGCCCUAAGCGUCACCCAAGCACACUCACUUAAAGAAAAAACGAGUUCUUUCGUUCUGUGCGCAGCUAAAAGGGGCGCCCUACAUCUCCGUGCCACUCCCGCCCCAGCCUAGCCCCAAGACUUUGGAUCCGGGGCGAGAUGAAGGGAAGAGGGUUGUUUUGGUUUCGGACGACCCUUGCUCUGACCGGAAGAGAAGUCCCUAUCCCACACCUGCCUGUCACGUUCCCUCCCCUUUCCCCAGCGCACUGUUGAGGGCAGCCUCUCCAGCUCUCUUGUUUAUGCAAACGCCGAGCGCCUGGGAGGCUCGGUAGGAGGAGUCUUCCACGGCCCCGCCCCGCCCCUGUCGGUCCCGCCCUCCCCCCCGCCGGGCUCCUGGGGCUGUGGCCGAAAGGUUUCUGAUCUCCGUGUGUGCAUGUGACUGUGCUGGGUUGGAAUGUGAACAAUAAAGAGGAAUGUCCAAGUGUU